Molecule: ribosomal RNA, 253 nt
Filed under: uncultured bacterium
Lineage: Bacteria
Description: partial 16S ribosomal RNA
Rfam family: Bacterial small subunit ribosomal RNA
Source: RNAcentral
UACGAGGGGGGCAAGUGUUGUUCGGAAUCACUGGGCGUAAAGGGAGCGUAGGCGGGCUCUUAAGUUGGAUGUUUAAAACCGGGGCCCAACCCCGGCGUGGCAUCCAAAACUGGGAGUCUUGAAUGGAACAGAGGCUAGUGGAAUUGGAGGUGUAGCGGUGGAAUGCGUAGAGAUCUCCAAGAACACCCGUUGCGAAGGCGGCUAGCUGGGUUCACAUUGACGCUGAGGCUCGAAAGCGUGGGGAUCAAACAGG